UACGGGGGGAGCAAGCGUUGUUCGGAUUUACUGGGCGUAAAGGGCGCGUAGGCGGCCACUGCAAGUCAGUUGUGAAAUCUCCGGGCUUAACUCGGAAAGGUCAACUGAUACUGCAGGGCUAGAGUGCAGAAGGGGCGACUGGAAUUCUCGGUGUAGCGGUGAAAUGCGUAGAUAUCGAGAGGAACACCGAUGGCGAAGGCAGGUCUCUGGGCCAUAACUGACGCUGAGAAGCGAAAGCAUGGGGAGCGAACAGG
This 254-nucleotide ribosomal RNA is filed under the name uncultured bacterium. RNAcentral's name for it is "partial 16S ribosomal RNA". It matches the Rfam family "Bacterial small subunit ribosomal RNA", at positions 524 to 776 of the family's 1533-position model. The record is from RNAcentral.